ACUGCAUCCAUGCAUGUCACUAGUACUGGCAUCUACGUGACCUUAUCAUUCACACGAAAUGCCCUUUCAUUAAGUUGCGUUUCUAUUAUUCUAGUCAAUACUUCUAUAACCAAAUUUAAUUAGCUAGGCAACAUUUAUUAAUAUUGAGUUACAAAAUAAGUUCCUCGGGAUUUGUCAGUCUAGCUUUCUAAUGUUAUAAAUGUUGAGUUGUAUGCUAGGAUUUUAAUUCAAUCAAUAAUAAAUAAGUUCUCAAAAGGUUGAGACAAAAUAAAGUAUGCGUACAUUUAAAAAUUGAUCGGGAUGUUGGAAUAAUGGAAU
Molecule: long non-coding RNA, 318 nt
Filed under: Salvia miltiorrhiza (redroot sage)
Lineage: Eukaryota; Viridiplantae; Streptophyta; Magnoliopsida; Lamiales; Lamiaceae
Description: long non-coding RNA (SMIL_LNC009641)
Source: RNAcentral